This 350-nucleotide ribosomal RNA is filed under the name uncultured Pseudomonas sp. Its description in RNAcentral is "bacterial SSU rRNA". It matches the Rfam family "Bacterial small subunit ribosomal RNA", at positions 989 to 1328 of the family's 1533-position model. The record is from RNAcentral. Lineage: Bacteria; Pseudomonadati; Pseudomonadota; Gammaproteobacteria; Pseudomonadales; Pseudomonadaceae.
GCGAGAACUUUCCAGAGAUGGAUUGGCUGCCUUCGGGCAACUCUGUACACAGGUGCUGCNUGGCUGUCGUCAGCUCGUGUCGUGAGAUGUUGGGUUAAGUCCCGUAACGAGCGCAACCCUUGUCCUUAGUUACCAGCACGUUAAGGUGGGCACUCUAAGGAGACUGCCGGUGACAAACCGGAGGAAGGUGGGGAUGACGUCAAGUCAUCAUGGCCCUUACGGCCUGGGCUACACACGUGCUACAAUGGUCGGUACAAAGGGUUGCCAAGCCGCGAGGUGGAGCUAAUCCCAUAAAACCGAUCGUAGUCCGGAUCGCAGUCUGCAACUCGACUGCGUGAAGUCGUGUAAUC